CCUACGGGAGGCAGCAGUGAGGAAUAUUGGUCAAUGGACGCAAGUCUGAACCAGCCAAGUAGCGUGCAGGAUGACGGCCCUCCGGGUUGUAAACUGCUUUUAGUUGGGAAUAAAAGGGGGCUCGUGAGCCCCGUAUUGUAUGUACCAUCAGAAAAAGGACCGGCUAAUUCCGUGCCAGCAGCCGCGGUAAUACGGAAGGUCCGGGCGUUAUCCGGAUUUAUUGGGUUUAAAGGGAGCGUAGGCCGGCUUUUAAGUCAGCUGUGAAAGUCCGCGGCUCAACCGUGGAAUUGCAGUUGAAACUGGAGGCCUUGAGUGCACACAGGGAUGCCGGAAUUCAUGGUGUAGCGGUGAAAUGCUUAGAUAUCAUGAAGAACUCCGAUCGCGAAGGCAAGUGUCCGGGGUGCAACUGACGCUGAGGCUCGAAAGUGCGGGUAUCAAACAGGAUUAGAUACCCUUGUAGUC
Molecule: ribosomal RNA, 462 nt
Filed under: uncultured bacterium
Lineage: Bacteria
Description: partial 16S ribosomal RNA
Rfam family: Bacterial small subunit ribosomal RNA
Source: RNAcentral